RNAcentral lists this ribosomal RNA (255 nucleotides) under uncultured Sphingomonas sp. Its description in RNAcentral is "partial 16S ribosomal RNA". It matches the Rfam family "Bacterial small subunit ribosomal RNA", at positions 85 to 357 of the family's 1533-position model. The record is from RNAcentral. Lineage: Bacteria; Pseudomonadati; Pseudomonadota; Alphaproteobacteria; Sphingomonadales; Sphingomonadaceae.
UUCGGGUCUAGUGGCGCACGGGUGCGUAACGCGUGGGAAUCUGCCCUUGGGUCCGGAAUAACAGUUAGAAAUGGCUGCUAAUACCGGAUGAUGACGUAAGUCCAAAGAUUUAUCGCCCAGGGAUGAGCCCGCGUAAGAUUAGCUAGUUGGUGGGGUAAAGGCCUACCAAGGCAACGAUCUUUAGCUGGUCUGAGAGGAUGAUCAGCCACACUGGGACUGAGACACGGCCCAGACUCCUACGGGAGGCAGCAGUGG